AGAGUUUGAUCCUGGCUCAGGAUAAACGCUGGCGGCGUGCCUAACACAUGCAAGUCGAACGCCCUCGAGCAAUCGAGGGAGUGGCGGACGGGUGAGGAACACGUGGGUCAUCUACCUUGAGGUGAGGAAUACCGGCGAGAAAUCGCCGACAAUACCGCAUAGCCUUUCUUUCGAGAAAGGAAAGCUUCGUAAGAGGCGCCCCGAGAUGAGCCUGCGCCCGAUUAGCUAGUUGGGGAGGUAACAGCUUCCCAAGGCGACAAUCGGUAGCUGGUCUGAGAGGACGAUCAGCCACACUGGGAUUGAGAACGGCCCAGACUCCUACGGGGGGCAGCAGUGAGGAAUUUUCGUCAAUGGGGGAAACCCUGAACGAGCAACGCCGCGUGCAGGAAGAAGGUUUUCGGACCGUAAACUGCUUUUCUUGGGGAAGAGAACGGACGGUACCCAAGGAAGAAGCCCCGGCUAACUACGUGCCAGCAGCCGCGGUAAUACGUAGGGGGCAAGCGUUGUCCGGAUUUAUUGGGCGUAAGGCGCACGCAGGCGGUCAGCCAAGUUCUGAGUGACAGGUGAGGGCUUACCCCUCGCAGGUCUUGGAAAACUGGCUGACUUGAGGGCUUCAGAGGGACGCGGAAUUCCAGGUGGAGCGGUGAAAUGCGUAGAGAUCUGGAAGAACACCAAAGGCGAAGGCAGCGUCCUGGGAAGCAUCUGACGCUCAGGUGCGAAAGCUAGGGGAGCGAACGGGAUUAGAUACCCCGGUAGUCC
This 759-nucleotide ribosomal RNA is filed under the name uncultured bacterium. Its description in RNAcentral is "bacterial SSU rRNA". It matches the Rfam family "Bacterial small subunit ribosomal RNA", at positions 8 to 796 of the family's 1533-position model. The record is from RNAcentral.